This 253-nucleotide ribosomal RNA is filed under the name uncultured bacterium. RNAcentral's name for it is "partial 16S ribosomal RNA". It matches the Rfam family "Bacterial small subunit ribosomal RNA", at positions 524 to 776 of the family's 1533-position model. The record is from RNAcentral.
UACGUAGGGCGCAAGCGUUAUCCGGAAUUAUUGGGCGUAAAGAGCUCGUAGGCGGUUUGUCGCGUCUGCCGUGAAAGUCCGGGGCUCAACUCCGGAUCUGCGGUGGGUACGGGCAGACUAGAGUGAUGUAGGGGAGACUGGAAUUCCUGGUGUAGCGGUGAAAUGCGCAGAUAUCAGGAGGAACACCGAUGGCGAAGGCAGGUCUCUGGGCCGGUACUGACACUGAGGAGCGAAAGCGUGGGGAGCAAACAGG